GAUGAACGCUAGCGGCAGGCUUAAUACGUGCAAGUCGAGGGGCAGCACGGUUAGCAAUAACUGGUGGCGACCGGCGCACGGGUGCGUAACACGUAUACAAUCUACCUUAAACAGGGGGAUAGCCUUUCGAAAGAGAGAUUAAUACCCCGUAAUAAAUUGAACGGCAUCGUUUGAUUUUGAAAGCUCCGGCGGUUUGAGAUGAGUAUGCGUCUGAUUAGCUAGUUGGUGAGGUAACGGCUCACCAAGGCGACGAUCAGUAGGGGAUCUGAGAGGACUAACCCCCACACUGGUACUGAGACACGGACCAGACUCCUACGGGAGGCAGCAGUAAGGAAUAUUGGUCAAUGGAGGCAACUCUGAACCAGCCAUGCCGCGUGCAGGAUGACGGCCCUAUGGGUUGUAAACUGCUUUUAUACGGGAAGAAAAAGCACUACGUGUAGUGUACUGACGGUACCGUUAGAAUAAGGAUCGGCUAACUUCGUGCCAGCAGCCGCGGUAAU
RNAcentral lists this ribosomal RNA (500 nucleotides) under uncultured bacterium. Its description in RNAcentral is "bacterial SSU rRNA". It matches the Rfam family "Bacterial small subunit ribosomal RNA", at positions 28 to 524 of the family's 1533-position model. The record is from RNAcentral.